Molecule: small nucleolar RNA, 132 nt
Organism: Pyrus x bretschneideri (Chinese white pear)
Lineage: Eukaryota; Viridiplantae; Streptophyta; Magnoliopsida; Rosales; Rosaceae
Product: small nucleolar RNA snoR134
Exons: 1
Source: RefSeq, a predicted model, not a curated record
ACGCACGAUGCAUAUCGGGCCUCUCUGAGAGUAUUUUCACCAAAGAAGAAAGCCCCAAUGCUCAGUGCUAAAACGUCGGCAUCAAGUAUUUUCCUUGCUAAAAAAUAAAUAAAUAAACUAGAUGUUACAAGG